UAGCCUCAAGUGAUGAUUAUUGGAGGUAGAGCACUGUUUGGACGAGGGGCCCCUCUCGGGUUACCGAAUUCAGACAAACUCCGAAUGCCAAUUAAUUUAACUUGGGAGUCAGAACAUGGGUGAUAAGGUCCGUGUUCGAAAGGGAAACAGCCCAGACCACCAGCUAAGGUCCCAAAAUAUAUGUUAAGUGGAAAAGGAUGUGGCGUUGCCCAGACAACUAGGAUGUUGGCUUAGAAGCAGCCAUCAUUUAAAGAGUGCGUAAUAGCUCACUAGUCGAGUGACACUGCGCCGAAAAUGUACCGGGGCUAAACAUAUUACCGAAGCUGUGGAUUGUCCUUUGGACAAUGGUAGGAGAGCGUUCUAAGGGCGUUGAAGCAUGAUCGUAAGGACAUGUGGAGCGCUUAGAAGUGAGAAUGCCGGUGUGAGUAGCGAAAGACGGGUGAGAAUCCCGUCCACCGAUUGACUAAGGUUUCCAGAGGAAGGCUCGUCCGCUCUGGGUUAGUCGGGUCCUAAGCUGAGGCCGACAGGCGUAGGCGAUGGAUAACAGGUUGAUAUUCCUGUACCACCUAUAAUCGUUUUAAUCGAUGGGGGGACGCAGUAGGAUAGGCGAAGCGUGCGAUUGGAUUGCACGUCUAAGCAGUAAGGCUGAGUAUUAGGCAAAUCCGGUACUCGUUAAGGCUGAGCUGUGAUGGGGAGAAGACAUUGUGUCUUCGAGUCGUUGAUUUCACACUGCCGAGAAAAGCCUCUAGAUAGAAAA
RNAcentral lists this ribosomal RNA (757 nucleotides) under Staphylococcus aureus. RNAcentral describes it as "partial 23S ribosomal RNA". It matches the Rfam family "Bacterial large subunit ribosomal RNA", at positions 877 to 1634 of the family's 2925-position model. The record is from RNAcentral. Lineage: Bacteria; Bacillati; Bacillota; Bacilli; Caryophanales; Staphylococcaceae.